Molecule: long non-coding RNA, 24263 nt
Filed under: Hordeum vulgare
Lineage: Eukaryota; Viridiplantae; Streptophyta; Magnoliopsida; Poales; Poaceae
Description: long non-coding RNA (HVUL_LNC014372)
Source: RNAcentral
AGGUUGCUGCUCAGGAAGCUGAGCGUGCCAAGUUCAUCGUCGAGAAGGCUGAGCAAGACAGUAGAAGUGCAAUUAUCAGGGGACAGGUAAGCAAGACAGGAACUAUAUAUUUUUCUUUCACAUGACUUCACAUACUUAUCAUGUUGAUGGUUUCAAUCAUAGUUACUAGAGGCAUAUUGUUAGUCUUCUUUUAUUUCUUCAUAGGUUCAUUAUAUAUUUCAUUACACUUGUGGAAUUUUGGAAAUUUUGGAGCAUUUGAGCCUAACACUGGUAGUCGUGUACAUUUAAUUUGUGGAGUUUAUGGUACAUGGUUUCCAUGCGGCUUUAACCUAUUUGUGGUGUCCAUAGUUUCAGACUUUCAGUGGUAGUUAGUAGAGGCAUAUAGCUAGUGUUGUUUAUGUCGUCAUAUCUUCAUAUAUGUCACUGCAUUUUCUGAGUUUGAGGCAUAUAGCUAAUAUUUUUUUACAUUUCAUUUGAUUGAUGAUUGCUGUGUCCAUAUUUUAGUUUUAGGCUUUCGGUGGUACGAUCGUAUGACUGAACAUAGUUUCAGACUUCCAGUGGUAUGCUGGUAUGACUGACCAUAGUUUCUGACUUCCAGUGGUACGUUCACACGACUGAAUAUAGUUUCAGAUAUUCAGCGGUAUGUUGGUAUGUUCGUACUACUCACUACCAGAAUAAAGCCAGUUGCCGACGGCCUAAUCUAUGCCGACGGCCCCCGUAGGCAUACGUGACCCUAUGCCGACGGCCUGCGCCGACCGUCAGCGUACAAAACACCGUCGGUGUACCUCCACCUAUGCCGACGGCUACCGUCGGCGUAUAAAGGCCGUCGGCAUAGAUCUCUUUAUGCCGACGGUAGUCGUAGGCAUAGCAGACCCGUCGGUGUAUCCGCGGGCCCGAGUACUCGACGGCCAACGACCGUUUCACGCCGUGAAAGAUAUGCCGACGGCCCUAACGGACACCGUCGACAUAGCUCUGAUGCACCACGUCAUCGAUCCGCGGUUCAUACCACGUCAUCAAUCCGAGGAAGCAACAGGCCUCGGGCAUACCAAUUUUGACUACGCCGACUGUUUAAACGUCGGCAUACCUAUAUAUAUUUUUAUUUCGAUAUGCCGACAGUUUAACUGUCGGCAUAUCUAUACAUAUUUUUUUAUUUUGGUAUGCCGACGGUGUAACCGUCGGCGUAGGUCCUUUUUUCAAAAUCUUUUCCCUAUGUUUCUUUAUUUUGAUUAACCAUCGCGUACGUUCAGUUUUUUAAAAAACUUGUCCCUAUGUCCAGGUUAUAUAUAGUCCAUGCUAUGAAAACCCGAUCAAACCCCGUCCGGCGGAAGUGAAAGGGUUAGAUCUGGCAGUCGACUAUAUAAGGAUUAGACGGGACGGGGUACAUGGGGNNNNNNNNNNNNNNNNNNNNNNNNNNNNNNNNNNNNNNNNNNNNNNNNNNNNNNNNNNNNNNNNNNNNNNNNNNNNNNNNNNNNNNNNNNNNNNNNNNNNNNNNNNNNNNNNNNNNNNNNNNNNNNNNNNNNNNNNNNNNNNNNNNNNNNNNNNNNNNNNNNNNNNNNNNNNNNNNNNNNNNNNNNNNNNNNNNNNNNNNNNNNNNNNNNNNNNNNNNNNNNNNNNNNNNNNNNNNNNNNNNNNNNNNNNNNNNNNNNNNNNNNNNNNNNNNNNNNNNNNNNNNNNNNNNNNNNNNNNNNNNNNNNNNNNNNNNNNNNNNNNNNNNNNNNNNNNNNNNNNNNNNNNNNNNNNNNNNNNNNNNGGGGGGUAGCAAUGCCGCCAGGUUUUGCGAUGGGCCCUCCUACGCUCGUGGAAGUGUGGUCGCAGACACAAGCACCCGAAACUCGGCUCCGGGGUGUGCCCCCCUCACGGGCGUCGCUCCCGCCGUGUCACGGAGGGAGGAAACGACCACGUCGGGCGAACAUGGAGGGAAUCUUGGGGUGGGUUGGGCGGGGACCGUGUUCGGGGGUGUAGCUAUGGGCUGGGCUAUGGCAAACCACCGGUCAAACCCCGUCCGGUGAAAGUGAAAGGGCUAGAUCUGAUGGUCGACUAUGACAGGGUUAGACGGGACGGGGUACAUGGGGGGGGUAGCAAUGCCGCCAGGUGUUGCGGUAGGCCCUCCUACACUUGUUGAAGCAUGGUCACAGGUGCAAGCACCCGACACUCGGCUCUGGGGUGUGCCCCCCCUCACGGGCAUCGCUGCCGCCAUGCCACGGAGGGGGUAAACUGCCACGUCGGGCCGACACGGAGGGAAUAUUGGGGUGGGUUGGGCGGGGACCGUGUUUAGGGGUGUAACCAUGGGCUGGGCUAUGGUAAACCGGUGAAAAUUUCCACGGUCAAACCCCGUUCGACGGAAGUCAAAGGGCUAGAUCCGGCGGUCGACUAUGUCAGGGUUAGACGGGACGGGGUACAUGGGGGGUAGCAAUGCCACCAGGUGUUGCGGUGGGCCCCUCCUACGCUUGUGGAAGUGUGGCCGCAGGCGCAAGCUCCCGACACUCGGCUCCGGGGUGUGCCCCCCUCACGGGCGUCGCUGCCGCCGUGUCACGGAGGGAGGAAACGACCACGUCGGGCCGACAUGGAGGGAAUCUUGUGGUGGGUUGGGCGGGGACCGUGUUCGGGGGUGUAGCUACGGGCUGGGCUAUGGCAAACCGGUGAAAAGAUCCAUUGAUCAAACCCCGUCCGGCGAAAGUCAAAGGGCUAGAUCCGACGGUCGACUAUGUCAGGGUUAGACGGGACGGGUACAUGGGGGGGCGGGGGGUAGCAAUGCCGCCAGGUGUAGAGGUGGGCCCUCCUACGCUUAUUGAUGCGUGGUCGCAAGGGCAAGCACCCGACACUCGACUCCGGGGUGUGCCGCCUCCCGGGCAUCGCUGCCGCCGUGUCACGGAGGGAGGGAACGACCACGUCGGGCCGACAUGGAGGGAAUCUUGGGGUGGGUUGGGCGGGGACCGUGUUCGAGGGUGUAGCUAUGGGCUAGGCAUGGCAAACCGGUGAAAAUUUCCACCGGUCAAACCCCGUUCGGCGGAAGUCAAAGGGCUAGAUCCGGUGGUUGACUGUGUCAGGGUCAGAUAGGACGUGGUACAUGAGGGGUAGCAAUGCCGCCGGGUGUUGCGGUGGGCGCCCUCCUAUACUUGUGGAAGCGUGGUCGCACGCGCAAGCACCCGACACUCGGCCUCGGGGUGUGCCCCCCUCACGGGCGUCGCUCCCGCCGUGUCACGGAGGGAGGAAACGGCCACGUCGGGCCAACAUGGAGGGAAUCUUCGGGUGGCUUGGGCGGGGACCGUGUUCGGGGGUGUAGCUAUGGGCUGGGCUAUGGCAAACCGGUGAAAAGAUCCACCGGUCAAACCCCGUCCGGUGAAAGUCAAAGGGCUAGAUCCGAUGGUCAACUAUGUCAGGGUUAGACUGGACGGGGUACAUGGGGGGGUAGCAAUGCCGCCAGGUGUUGUGGUAGGCCCUCCUACGCUUGUUGAAGCAUGGUCACAGGUGCAAGCACUCGACACUCGGCUCUAGGGUGUGCCCCCCCCUCACGGGCAUCGCUGCCGCCAUACCACGGAGGGGGUAAACUGCCACGUCGGGCCGACACGGAGGGAAUAUUGGGGUGGGUUGGGCGGGGACCGUGUUUGGGGGUGUAGCUAUGGGCUGGGCUAUGGUAAACCGGUGAAAAUUUCCACGGUCAAACCCCGUUCCACGGAAGUCAAAGGGCUAGAUCCAGCGGUCGACUAUGUCAGGGUUAGACGGGACGGGGUACAUGGGGGGUAGCAAUGCCACCAGGUGUUGCGGUGGGCCCUGUUGGAAUUAUGCCCUAGAGGCAAUAAUAAAUAUAGUUAUUAUUAUAAUUCCUGUAUCAAUAUAAUCGUUUAUUAUCCAUGCUAUAAUUGUAUUGAAUGAAGACUCAUUUACAUGUGUGGAUACAUAGACAAAACACUGUCCCUAGCAAGCCUCUAGUUGGCUAGCCAGUUGAUCAAAGAUAGUCAGUGUCUUCUGAUUAUGAACAAAGUGUUGUUGCUUGAUAACUGGAUCACGUCAUUAGGAGAAUUACGUGAUGGACAAGAUCCAAACUAAUAGACGUAGCAUGUUGAUCGUGUCAUUUUGUUGCUACUGUUUUCUGCGUGUCAAGUAUUUAUUCCUAUGACCAUGAGAUCAUAUAGCUCACUGACACCGGAGGANCCUCUCGUAGAUGGACAUCACCAUGAUAGGUCUUCGUGCGCGUAGGAAAAUUUUUGUUUCCCAUGCGACGUUCCCCAACAGGUCCCUCCUCCUUGAUCUAUUCAACGGGCAAUGUGGCAGGGCUGGGGGUUCGAAACCUUAUAACUUGCCAGAACAAGAGUGGGAGGACAUCAUGUUCUAUGUCUUGCACAACAUCACGGAAGUCGAGGAAGAGUGGAUGAGGUAAUACCGCUACACCAUUCCUUUAUGAAAUUCUUCGAGGAUGAGUCCCGUUCUAACACCGAUUAUCUUCUUUCAGUCAAUUCCUACAUGAGGAGUGGACGGGAAUGAUUCCUCCUACUAAAGCGGAGGCACUUACUCUUUUACGGAACGGUGCCUGAAAAUUUUUGUUGCUUGGUUCAUCGAUAAAGUAAUUUGUUCACAUUCCCCUAGUUCAACUUAAUUCCUAGUUCAACAUUUAUGACUUGAUGGAACUAAUGCACCCAUCAAUUUCAAUUACACUUGUAGGGCAAAGAUCCGAACACCUCUAUGGAUGAUGAAUUGAGAUGGGUUUCCAUGGGUUUUAACGCUCAUGUCAUGAAAUGUGAAAAGUAUGAUGUGAAUGGUUAUCGCUUCCAUACAGAGGAUCACCAGAAUAGCCGGCCUGAUCCCAAAACUAUAAACACAGGAGUGUACACCCCAGGAGAAAAUGAAGUUGAGUACUACGGAAGGGUAGGAAAAAUAUACGAGCUGUCAUUCGAUCUUGGUGGCGAGGACCUAAAUCUAGCUGUGUUCAAAUGUCGAUGGUUUGACCCAUAUGAGGGGUUGAGACAUACGCCUUCCCUUGGUUUGGUCGAAGUAAAACAAUCCACCGUUUAUGCAGGAGCCGAUCUUUUUAUUGCAGCUACCCAAGCCACACAAGUUUAUUAUCUGCCCUACCCAUGCCAGAAAGAGUACCUAAAGGGUUGGGAAGUUGUGUUCAAGGUGGAACCACAUGGUAAGCUACCGGACCCGGACGAUGACGACUACUUCUACAUUAACCCCAUGACAUACGAGGGAGUGUUCUAUCAAGAGCAACUUGAUGAUGUUGAUGUGGUUCGAUACAAUGAUGCUGAUGUUGAUGUGGAUCCAAAUGAUGACGAUGCACGAGAUGAUGGCGAGACCAUUGUGAACAACCAAGACAUAUUAUUGCUAGAGAAAUUAAAUGAAUACGCUGAAGACGAGGAAGAGCCUGCACCUACGUCAGACAAUGAAGAUGAUAUGCGUGAUAGUGACGAUGAGACCGGUCGAGGAAACGGUUACAACAGUGAUGAUUCGUAUGGGUUUUAACACAUGUAUGUUCCAUGUCUUAUUUGUAUGUUUUAUUAAUAUGUAUUUUUUAUAUGGUUUAUUAAUAUGACUUUUUUAUAUGUUUUAUUAAUAUGUCUUUUUUAUAUGGUUUAUUAAUAUGUCUUUUCUAUUAUUACACUAACUUUUUAUUCUCUUUUAAUGCAGGUUCGCUAAGUAUGGGAAAAGGCAAGGCCGAUGGUACUGGUUUGCUAAAAAAACUCGUCGCGAAGGUUAGUCGGAGUGGUCGACCCCGUAAUGUCCCCUCCCGACUACUUGACGAUGAGUUCUCACAGGGAGGUCGAGGGAGAGGUGCCCGAGGAGGACGUGGUGGGGGAGAGGCCCAGGGGGACGGUCUCGGGGCCAGAAACUGCGCUCUGUGACCGACAUAGGUGGGUCGUCUUCGCGACCCUUCGCUAGUGAGGUAACCUCUGAGGAGGAGGAGGAGGAGCAGGAGGUUAGGGGGGAGGGGGAGGAGGAGGAGGAGGAGGAGGAACGGGAGGUUAGGGAGGAGGAUGAGGAUGGUGGCGAGGAGGAGGAUGGUGGCGAGGAAGGGGGUGCUGGUGGGGAGGGGGGUGGCAAGCAGAAGGGUUGGCUGCGUGGUGGUGCACGACUCCCAAAUCCUCCUGCUAGCGAGGAGAUGAAGUGGCUCAUUAAGCCCAAGGGGAAAUAGUAAGUGGCCCUUAAUAAUAUUUUUAACACAUAACAUCAUUUUGAUUGUACACAUGCUAAUAUUUUCAUUCUUUUGCAGUAGCUGGGAAUAUCCUGAAGGUGGUCGUAUUCCAAACGGCAUCCUCACUAUCCUGUUGAAGAAGUUUUGGCCAGGGAUCUUUGCUCCGGACCGAAAGAAGGAGGAGCACAAGAUUUUGGCCACGUGCUGGGAGCACUACAAAGCGGCCUACCACCCAACCCAUAAGACGGCCGCUAAGGCCAUGAUAUCAAGGUUUUGGGUAAGUUCUCUUGUGAAGCACAAUUCUUGAGUUACUUUCAUAGUUUAUCAUCACAUCGUUUAACUCAUGGCUUGUUCCAUUCUGGUUUCAUGAAUAACUAUAGAAAUUCUAUAGAGUUCUCGAGGAGCACAAGGCCGAGGCUGAUGAGGUCUUGCUGCGGGCUGCGAGGAAGCAGGCCCGUCAGUGGCGUCAUGAGGUUCGCUUUCUGGCCGUCUCGCAAUAUUAUCACGUGGCAUGUCGCGAGAAGGUGACCAAGGAUGACGUGAAGAAGCGUGACCUUACCUUGACUAAGGAGCAAUACAUGUCGAUAAGUAUAACAGACUUUUCAUUACGACGUUUGUGGUAAAUUUCAUUGUUUCGUGGUCACAUGCCAUUAUGCUUCUUAUCUAGGUGCGUCCUAAUUGGUGCUAUGGAAGUGAUGGAUGGGAGGGAUUGGUGGAUCUGUGGGUCGGCGAGGACGCAAAGUUUGCUCCCAUGAGCAUGAUAAACAAGGCUAAUCGCGGAACCGACGGAACACACCGUCAGGGAAACCAAAACCACUAGCGCCACAAGAAACUUCAGGUAUAUCUAUGUACAUGAAACAUUCUUAAUCUUCUCUUUACCGUAUUAUUAUGUAUCACUAACCUCUGUUUGGUGUUGCAGGAGGAGAAAUUGAAGCGGUCGCUCUCAGACAUCGAGUCGUGGACGCUUGCCCGUGUGCGGCCUAAUCACAAGGCCGGCGAGAGUGAGUACUACGGCCAUACUGGGGAGAACCUGAUGGCAUACACGCAGGAGUUUCAGAAGCGGAAUCCUCAGACAUCAGACCCCAUGUCUGAGGAUACCGACGAGAGGGCCGCCGUCGGCAUAGGGCCGAGGAGUCAUGGUCGGCAUAAGAUUCUGGAUUCUGUGAUCACCCCUUCUGUCUCCUACAGGCAGAUCCGCGCUACCGACCCGAGGACGAGCAAUCGCCCGUGCCCCCGCUCCAGCACGUCCUCUGCACUGUCCCUGCUAGCCCAGCAGAACUCUGUAAGUAUUUUCCCUCUUAUCUUCUUUCAUUCAACCUUUAUUUUCCGCAUUCCUAUGUUUUAUGAGUACCAUCAUGUCAUAUUUUUAGGCCUACAUGAACUUCAUACGUGGGCAACGGUUCGAUUGGAACGAGAGAGUUGCAGCAGUCACUGAGCACAACAGACGCACAACAGAGCUUCUGGUUGCUUCUAUGUCAAGAGGGGAGGUUCCUACACUGCCACCAGCACCACCAUCUCCUGGACCUCAACCAGUGCCGCAUACAUUCGAACAAUUCUUGGCAGAAUACUAUGGCACUCCGGUUAGUACAUCACCAAACUAUUCAACCACAACUUAGCAUUUAUUCAAUACAAUAAUAUAUUGCUUUCCCAUCUCUUUUCAAAAAUGCAGGGAACUGAUGGAUCAUUCGCCGGUGGUGGUCCUACUGAUGGAUCAUUCGCCAGUGGUGGUCCUACUGAUGGUUCCGCUCACGAGCCACAAAGCCCAAUCACUCUUAUCUCGCAAGGAGGUGGCUGUGGUGGUAGCGUUAGCGGUGGUCUAUGUUGAACUAUGCUAGUGGUGGUGUCCGCCUUUAUAUUUUGUUGAACUUGUUAUUAUGUAGUUGUCCUGAACUUGUCAUUAUGUUGUUGCGUUGAACUUGGCGGUAGCGGUGCCCUAUGUUGAACUAUGUUGUGUUGAACUAUAUUAUGUGUUCUAUAUGUUGAACUAAAUGUUAUGCUGAACUAUAUCCUGUGUUUUAUAUGUUGUAUAUCCUGUCUAUUUAAAUGAAAAUGCAAAAAAAAUAAAAAAUUGUAACUACGCCGACGGUUAGGCCGUCGGCAUAGAUGGACACGUGGCACCAUCUGGUAGCUCCUGGCGCAGCACUACGCCGACGGUUAGGCCGUCGGCAUAGAUGGACACGUGGCACCAUCUGGGAGCUCCUGGCGCAGCACUACGCCGACGACUAGGCCGUCGGCAUAGAUGGACACGUGGCACCAUCUGGCAGCUCCUGGCACGGCACUACGCCGACGGUUAGGCUGUCGGCAUAGAUGGAGGUAUGCCGACGGCCUAACCGUCGGCGUAGCACCGCGUCAGGUGGUGCCACGUGCUGCCAUAGUAUUGGUGCUGGCCUAACGACGUCGCCGUUAACGGCCGUCAGGUGAAAAAACUAUGCCGACGGUGUAUCUAAGCCGAGGGUUGUACGGCCACCGUCGGCAUAGUCACAUACGCCGACGGCCUUUCUAUGCCGACGGCCUCCACUGGAUACGCCGACGUCUGAGUUGCCGACGGAGGUACGCCGACGGUCCCCGUCGGCGUAGCCCUAUGCUGAUGGCCUGUGGGCCUACGCCGACGGGGUUAGGCCGUCGGCAACUAGCCUUAUUCUGGUAAUGACUGACCAUAGUUUCAUAGUAGCCAUUUUCUAAGUUGAUAGUGUCACUUCAAGUGGUAAUUUGUAUAGGCAUAUUGCUAGUGUUUUUUAUAUCUAGCUUUGUAUAUUUCCUUACAUUUGCUGAGAUUGGUAUCACUUCAGCCUAACAUGCUUCUUUCUAUAUCUGAACAGGGAGAGGUCAAGAGUGCAGAGCUCAUUGGUAAUGCCAUUGCCAACAAGCCAGCUUUCGUAGCAGUCACACAGAUUGAAGUCGCCAGGGAGAUUGCCCACAACAUCUCAGCCUCCAACAACAAGGUUUUCCUGGACUUGCGUGACCUGCUGGUUGGGCUCCAGUUGCCCAAGAUCUUGGGCAGCAAGAAGAAAUAAGACAGUUUCCUGUCACACAUGUUAUGGUUACCAUCCGCCGUCUCCAUCGAAGAAGUACUCUUGAGGGGAACAAACACAUAGUUUCUUGCAUUCCGACUGAAAACAACAAAGACACCUUGCUACAGUGAACUGUUGGUGCGCUUUUCGAACGAACCUGUCAGCUACUAUUGCUGUUCAUAGCUAUGGUAAAUUGUACUGUUUCGUUCCCUCUUGACCCAGCGCAGAUGCAUGCUUUACUGCUUACCAGCGUGCAAAAUCCAUUUUGGGACCGACCAAGGGGUCUGCUUUUAGUUGGCCAUGUUGUUGAUUUUUGUUGAAGUGAUUAGCUAGUAAUUUGGACAAGUGGUUGGAACCUGGUACAUGUAAAGGGUUUUGGCAUUGCCAUUUCUGAGCAUAUUCUGCAACUGUAGCAUGCAAGGGAAUUGGACACAUCUGAAGUGUUUACCAAUUAGGAUAGGUGGGUGUGGUCUGGUACAUAUAAGGUAUUUACCAUUAUCAUUUGUGAGUGAUCAGUUACCGUGGCGACAGCUGUUAUGGCAUACCUAGCAUCGAUACAGCCAAUUUUUGUUGACUCUUUUGGAAUUUAAUGCACCCUAUGUCAGUUGAUCUGUGAAUUCCUACAACAUUGUAGCCUAUGCAGUGUCUACUGGAAAUUGCUCUGUGAAUAUGCAUUUUAGCUCAUUUGCUUUUAAUGUAUUAACAGUAGUUACCAUUAUAUAUUGCAUGUGAAUAAGUAUUUUAACUCAUUCACUUUGAAUCUGUUAGCAGCAGUGAGAAGUACUUUUUUUUUGCUUAAUCAUUAUAUGUUGCCAUGACCAUUUAAGACAAUUAGCUGAUGCUCAACAAGUUAUAUCAUUCUGACUGAAUUUGUGUUAUGACCGGUACAACGUACCAACGGAGGAGGCCCAAUGAGCAGGGUUAGUUAGGGGCUUAGCCCUAGUUAUCUUAGGUAUAUUAGAGUCCAAGUUAUAUUAGAAGUUCAAGUUAUAUUAGAAGUCCAAGUUAUCUAGGGUUUAAUGGAGGUUGUCCUCCUAUAUAAACACAUGUACCCCUUCGAUAUUAAGCAGACAAUAAACAGUAUUCUGUUGUCGUCUUCCUUAGGAGACGGGAGCCCCAAACCCUAGCCGUCUCUCUCUCUCUCACGCCGCGACGGCACCCAACCGCCGGCGCCAGCGUCCCCAACCUCGCAGCCCGCACUUCCACCCCUACAACCUGCGUCCGAGACCUGGUAGAACCCUAGCCUCUACCAAUUUGGUAUCAGGUAGCUUGGGUUCGAUGAAUUUGUCGGACCUUCCCACCACCACCGCCACCGCCACCACCGCCUUCCCCGCCACCUCGCAGCAACCGCCACCGCCGCCGGCCACCUCAGGUCCAGCCGCCUCCGGUACCGCGGCCCUGGCGGCCGAAGCCGCCCCCGUCCUCUCCCCGACGGAGUGUCCUCGGCAAUCCGCGACCUCACCCUGGCGGUCUCGAACCUCCAGACUUUCCUCCAGGCUCCGUACGCAACCCCGCCACCACUGCCUCCGCCGGCGGCGCCCUUCGGGACACCGCCCCGGCCACCGUCGCGCCCCAGGGCCUGCCGAUCACCCAGGUCUGUUGGCCGCCGUCGCCGUCCCCGCUACCGACGUGGAUUGACACGCCGACCUACACGACGGCGCCGCUACAGCCGACGGUGUUGCAGCCACUCGCCCCACCUUCGGGGGGUUCGGCGGGUCCGCUGACUCGUACGCCGGACGCUCCGUGGUGCCGUAGCACUCUCCUUCUGCCGCGCUGGGUCGUCCCGAGGGCGCCUACGUGGCCUCGCCACACGUGCAGCAGCCACGCCGCUUCACCAAGCUGGAGUUCGCCACCUACGACGGCACCGUCGACCCCCUGAACUGGCUCAAUCAGUGCGACCAGUUUUUUAGGGGGCAGCGGACCAUGGCGUCCGACCGCACGUGGAUCACCUCCUACCACCUCCGUGGCGCUGCCCAGACGUGGUAUUACGCCCACGAGCAGGACGAGGGCGGGAUGCCUCCGUGGGAGCGCUUUCGCGACCCGUGUCUCCUCCGGUUCGGCCCCCCCAUACGUGGGACCCGCCUGGCCGAGCUCGGUCGCCUUCCCUUCACCACCUCGGUGCAGGACUUCGCCGACCGCUUCCAGACGUUGGCCUGCCAUGCGCCUGACGGGCUUGCCAACGCGCCUUCCCGACCACAUCCGCAUCGACGUCGAGAUGCGCGACCCCCAGGACCUGCAGACGGCCAUGUAUUAUGCACGCACGUACGAGCAGCGCAUCAACGCCCUGCAGCAGGCGUUCCCGGGCCGCGGCAUGCGUCCCCCGACCCGCCCCGCCCCGGCGGCCGCCACCCCGACACGCCCUGCCCUGCCGGCCACUACUGCGACUGCCCCCGCGCCGACACGCACCUUCCGGCGCUUGACGUCGGCCGAGCAGCUCGAGCGACACCACAAGGGCCUGUGCUUCAACUGCGACGAGCCGUAUACGCUGGGUCAUACGUGCGCCCGCCUGUUCUACUUGGAGACCGUCGACGACGCGGAGGUGGAGGCCCUCAUCACGGAGCUCGACGCCACCACACUCUCCGAGGCCGGCGUCACGACCUACGGGCCGGUCGAUGCGACCGCCUUCGUCGUCUCCCUUCAUGCCAUGGCUGGCAUCAAGACGGCAAAGACGAUGCUGCUUCCGCUGACGAUCAACGUGGAGCGUCUCACCGUGCUCGUAGACACGGGUUCGACGCACAACUUCCUGUCCGGGGACGCCAUGCGCCGCCUCGCACUCCAACCGGCGGGCUCGGAGAAGUUCAGCGUCACCGUUGCCAACGGGGACCGCCUUGCUUGCUAGGGGGUGGCGCGACAGGUUCCCGUCCUUAUCGGCGACGAGCCGUUCUCCAUCGACUGCGUCAGCAUCGACCUGGGCUGCUACGACUUCAUCCUCGGCAUCGACUUCCUGUCCACUCUUGGCCCCAUCCUUUGGGACCUCGAUGUGUUGUCCCUCAUCUUCUGGCGCGAGGGCGGUCGUCGCAUUCAGUGGACAGGCAUCGGCGGCUCCGGCGCCGCGACUCCGCAGCUCCAGUUGAUGGCGGCCGCACUAGACGAGCGCAUCCCCUCCUGGCGCUUCUGCAUCGACUACCGUGCCCUCAACGCCCCGACGUCCAAGGACAAGUUCCCCAUCCCCAUAGUGGAUGAGCUCUUGGACGAGCUACACGGAGCGCGCUUCUUCACCAAGCUCGACCUUCGCUCGGGCUACCAUCAGGUGCACAUGCACCCUGACGACAUCAAGAAGACGGCGUUCCGCACUCACCAUGGCCACUUUGAGUUCCUGUUGAUGUCGUUCGGCCUCUCCAACGCGCCGGCGACCUUCCAGGCCCUGAUGAACGACGCACUCAGCCCAUACAUGUGCCGCUUUGUGCUUGUUUUCUUUGAUGACAUUCUUAUCUACAGUGCAUCUUGGGCGGAGCACGUACAACACGUGGCCAUCAUCUUCAACGAGCUUCGAGCGCAUCGUCUUCACCUCAAGCGCUCGAAGUGCUCGUUCCGCACGACCUCCGUCACGUACCUGGGGCAUGUCAUCUCGGCGUACGGGGUAGCGAUGGACGCGGACAAGGUCGCCGCCGUUGCCGCGUGGCCGACCCCGCGGUCACCGCGGGCGCUCCGCGGUUUCUUGGGCCUCGCCGGCUCCUACCGGAAGUACAUCCGGGAUUUCGGCCUCAUCGCCGCGCCAUUGACGCGUCUCUUUCGACGCGACGCCUUCUCCUGGGACGAGGAGGCGACUACGGCAUUCGAGGCUCUCCAGCGGGCGCUAACGGCGGGACCCGUCCUCCAGAUGCCGGACUUUGGUAUGCCGUUCGUGGUGGACUGCGACGCCUUUGGCAUCGGCUUCGGCGCCGUCCUCCACCAGGGCGAGGGACCGCUCGCUUUCUUCAGUCGCCCCUUCGCCGCUCGCCAUCACAAGCUCGCGGCCUACGAGCGCGAGCUUAUUGGGCUGGUUCAGGCGGUGCGCCACUAGCGGCCUUAUCUUUGGGGCCGGUCAUUCCGUGUGCGCACAGACCACUAAAGCCUCAAGUUCUUGCUGGACCAGCGCCUCUCCACCGUUCCGCAGCACCAGUGGAUCAGCAAGCUCUUCGGCUUCGACUUCACCGUCGAGUACCGCCCCGGCCGUCUCAACACGGUCGCCAGCGCCUUGUCCCGCCGUGACACUGAGGAUGUCGCGGACGACGUCGCCAUGGCUGGCAUUAUCAUGUGCAUCCGCUCCGGGCGAUCUUUCGCCUUCAUCGACGACAUUCGCCGGGCAACUUCGACGGCCGCGGACGCGCAGGGCCUGCGCCAGCGCCUUGACGCCGGCGAGCUGGACGCGCCCUGGCGCUUGGAUGAGGGGCUGCUCCUACAUGGCCGCCGCAUCUUCGUGCCCGACCAUGGCGACCUGCACCACCAGGUCCUGACCUUGGCGCACUAUGCAAGGCACGAGGGCGUGCAGAAGACUCUCCAUUGUCUCCGUGCUGAUUUUUUACAUCCCCGGUGAUGGCGUGAUGGUCCGCGACUGGGUGCGGUCGUGCGUGACGUGCCAGCGGAACAAGACGGAGACACUACGACCCGCGGGUCUAUUGCAGCCGCUGGACGUACCCUCCCAGGUAUGGGUGGAUAUUUCCAGGAACUUCGUCGAGGGUCUUCCCAAGGUGGGCGGCAAGUCCGUCAUCCUCACGGUGGUUGACCGCUUCUCCAAGUACGCGCGCUUCAUCGCCCUGGGUCUUCCAUAUACAGCCGCGUCCGUGGCGCGGGCCUUCUUCGACGGCAUCGUCCGCCUCCACGGUUUUCCUUCAUCCAUCGUCAACGAUCGUGAUCCCAUGUUCACGGGACAUGUCUGGCGGGAUCUCUUUCGUCUGGCGGGCGUGAAGCUCCGCAUGAGCACGGCGUUCCACCCUUAGACAGACGGCCAAUCCGAGGUGGUCAACAAGGUGAUCGCCAUGUACCUUCGUUGUGUUAUUGGUGAUCGUCCACGAGCUUGGGUGGACUGGUUGGCGUGGGCGGAGUACUGCUACAACACUUCCUAUCACUCGCCCUUCGCACCACGCCUUUCGUGGUCUACGGGCGCCCACCUCCAGCGAUGCUCCCUUACGAGCCUGGGACGGCUCGGUCCGAGACGGCGGGCGACUUACUCCGCACCCGCGAUGACAUUCUGGCUGAGGCGCGCCAACGUCUUCUCCAAGCACAGCAGCUGGCUCGGAAGUACUACGAUGCUCAUCAUCGCGAGGCGGAGUUCGCGGUGGGCGAUUGGGUGUGGCUCGCCUCCUCCACAGGACCACGUAGUCUCUGGACCCGCGCUCCAAGCGCAAAUUGGGACCUCGCUACGCCGGUCCCUUUCGUGUGCUGGAGCAUGUCGGCACACUCGCAUACCGCUUGGAGCUGCCAGCUGGUUCUCGCCUCCACGACGUCUUCCAUGUUGGCUUACUGAAGGCCUUCCGCAGGGACCCUCCUACAGCGGCGCCGGCCCUUCCUCCUACUUCAGAUGGCCGCCUCCUUCCAGCUUCCGCACAGGUGGCGAAGGUGUUGCAGGCGCAACAGCGUCGCGGCGUCUGGCAUGUCUUAGUACAGUGGACCGGCCUGCCAGAGGAGGAAGCGACUUGGGAGAAGCUCGACGAUUUCCGCCAGCAGUUUCCAAAUGUUCAGCUCGAGGACGAGUUGUUUGAGAAGGCGGGGAGAGAUGUUAUGACCGGUACAACGUACCAACGGAGGAGGCCCAAUGGGCAGGGUUAGUUACGGGCUUAGCCCUAGGUAUCUUAGGUAUAUUAGAGUCCAAGUUAUAUUAGAAGUCCAAGUUAUAUUAGAAGUCCAAGUUUUAUUAGAGUCCAAGUUAUCUAGGGUUUAGUGGAGGCUGUCCUCCUAUAUAAACACAUGUACCCCUUCGAUAUUAAGCAGACAAUAAACAUUAUUCUGUUGUCGUCUCCCUCAGGAGACGGGAGCUCCAAACCCUAGCCGUCUCUCUCUCUCUCAUGCCGCGACGGCACCCAACCGCCGGCGUCCCCAACCUCGCAGCCCACACUUCCACCCCUACAACCUACGGCCGAGACCUGGUAGAACCCUAGCCUCUACCAAUUUGUUAUUGGUCAUGUACUUCUUUUCAAAAAUAGCAUUUACGUUGCAGCUCCUUGUAUAUAUUUGAUAACACUUAAUAAUUUGGACAGGUGGGAAUUGGUCUUUGUGUUCUUACACAACCCAUGCUGGAGAGACUACCAACUAUGUACAGGACCCUGGGGGAGAACUAUAAUGAGAGAGUGUUGCCUUCUUCAUCAUAUAUUUUCAUUACACUUGUUGAGUACUGAACAUUUGAACCUACCGCUGGUAUUCAUGUGCAUUCCAUUUGUUGAGUUUAUCAUACAUGGUUUCCAUACGACUUCACCUAUUUGCGAUGUCCAUAGUUUCAGACUUUCAGUACUGGUUAGUACAUGCAUAUUGCUAGUGCUGUUUAUGUCUUCAUAUCUUCAUAUAUCAUAUAUGUUACUCACUGCAUUUACCGACUUUCGGACCACUUGAGCUCGAGUCUAGUAAUUUUGCACAUUUCAUAUGGUAGUCGAUUUCUGUGUCCAUGGUUUAGGUUUAGACUUUCAGUGGAACGUUCAUAUGACAUUACAUAAUUUCCGCCAUCCAGUGGUAUGUUCGGAUGACUGAACAUAGUUUCAGACUUCAAGUUCGUUCAUACGACUGAAUAUAGUUCGUACCAGCGACCAUCGUUUCAAACUUAACAUUUUCUAUCUUCAUAGUGUCACUUCCAGUGGUAGUUAGUAUAGGCAUAUUGCUAGUGCUGUUUGUAUCUUCAUAGCUUUGUAUAUUUCCUUGCAUUUGCUGAGUUUAGUUGCACUUGAGCCUAACACUUGUUAGACAUUUGUAUAUGUCUUCUUCAAACUAGUAACCACCGCCCCACGCACAGAUCUGUGGAUCUCAGCCGCCCGUAAUGCGUGCGAUGGGUUUGCUUACUCCUUCCUGUUUUUUCUGUCCCGAUUGUGGUGGAUCCUUUCACGUUUGAUUUCUGGUCAGUUUUGGUGUGCUCCGUGCAGGUCUACCCAGAGGGGACUCAGAUCGUCAUCCCGUGAUUUGUGAGGCCGAUCAUCUAUGACGUCCGUGCACAACCCAACCUCGUGGAGAGCACCUCUGGCCUCCGGGAGCCGGCUCCAGAUGGUAACUUUCUCUUGUGUCGAUCCCUCUUCACCUAGCACAGAUGCGUGAUUUACUGUUACCUGUGUGUCAAAUCCAUGUUUUGGACUGACCAAGGGGUCUGCUUUUAGUUGGCUAUGUUGUUGAUAUUCUGCAAAUGUAGCCUGUAAGAGGAUCUGGUUCAUGUGAAGUGAUUAGCUAGCAAUUUUUACAUGGAAAGGGUUUUGGCAUUGUCAUUUCUGACCCGCAAAAAAAGGCAUUGUCAUUUCUGAGCAUAUUCUUUCACUGUAGCCUGCAAGGGGAACGGACACAUGUAAAGUGUUUACCAGUUUGGAUAGGUGGGUGGGUUCUGGUACAUGUAGGGUGUUUCCCAUAAUCAUUUCCGAUUGUGAAGUUACAGUGACAACAGCUGUGAUGGCAUACCUGGCAUCUAUGGACUCAAUUUUUGUUGAUUCAUUUGGAUAUUAAGGCAACCCAUGGUAGUUGAUCUAUGAAAUCCUACACCAUUGUAGCCUUGGACUGUCUAGUGUCUACUGCUCUGUGAAUAAGCAUUUGAGCUCAUUUGGUUUUUAUCUAUUUGGAGUGGUCACCAUUAUAUAUUGUCUGUGAAUAAGCAUUUGAACUCAUUUUUUCUUGGAAGCUGUUAACAGAAGUGACAAGUAAUUUUUUUUCGUUCAUCAUUAUAUGUUGCCAUGAUCAUUUAAGAUGAAUAGGUGUUGCCGAACAAAGUUAUAUAAUGUUGACUAUGUGAAUUUGUUAGUUGUCAUGCACUUCUUUUCAUUCCCAAAGUAGCAUUUACACUGCAGCACCUAGCAUACAUUUGAUACCACUCGAUAAUUUGGGCAGGUGCGAACUGGUCUUCGUGUCCUUACAUGACCCAUGCCAGAGAGACUACCAUGUACAGGACCCGGGGGAGAACUACAAUGAGAGAGUGUUUCCUUCAAUCAUUCAUAAACAUUCAAAGUUGUGGUUGCCCAAUACAGAGAGAGGUACAACUUCAUCAUGUUCAAUGUGUGUACAUGUUUCACAUGCUAUAUAUAUACUCCCUCUGUCCCAUAAUAUAAGAACNNNNNNNNNNNNNNNNNNNNNNNNNNNNNNNNNNNNNNNNNNNNNNNNNNNNNNNNNNNNNNNNNNNNNNNNNNNNNNNNNNNNNNNNNNNNNNNNNNNNNNNNNNNNNNNNNNNNNNNNNNNNNNNNNNNNNNNNNNNNNNNNNNNNNNNNNNNNNNNNNNNNNNNNNNNNNNNNNNNNNNNNNNNNNNNNNNNNNNNNNNNNNNNNNNNNNNNNNNNNNNNNNNNNNNNNNNNNNNNNNNNNNNNNNNNNNNNNNNNNNNNNNNNNNNNNNNNNNNNNNNNNNNNNNNNNNNNNNNNNNNNNNGUUCUUAUAUUAUGGGACGGAGGGAGUAGUAGAUAGUAGCCGCCGACCUUGUUGGAAUAUGUUACCAACAUAUCCUUUUAUGUAAUGGCGGGCUGUGAGCAGGGAGAUCAGGAAUAUUCUGACAGAGAGGGCCAGAAAUUUCAUUACCAUUCUCAGUUUUGGUAAAGAGUUGGUUCAUGCCAUUGAAGCCAAACAGUAUGCUGUGCAGGAAGCUGAGCAUGCCAAGCUCAUUGUUGAGAAGGACGAGGAAGACAAGAAAAGUGCAAUUAUCAGGGCACAGAUGAGCAAAACAGAUACUAGAUAAUUUCUCUUUCAUACAACUUCACCUACUUUCCCUGUAAGUUCCAGUCAUAAUUCCUAGAUGCAUUGUAUGCCAGUGUUCUUUGUCUUCAUAGCUUCAUCAUAAAUCUUAUUAUAUUUGUGCACUUUUGGAGCAUUUGAGCAUAACGCUGGUAGUUCUGUACUUUCCAUUUUUUGAGUAUAUGAUGCAUGAUUUCCAUAUGGCUUCACCUAUUUGCUGUGUCAUUAGUUUCAGACUUUCAGUGGUAGUUACUAGAGACUUGUUGCUAGUGAUGUUUAUGUCAUCAUAGCUCAUAGUCACUUGUGGAGUUUCACUGUAUUUGCUGAGUUUGGAAGCACUUCAGCCUGACACUAGUAAUUUUGCACAUUUCAUAUGUUAGAUGAUUGCUAUGUUCACAGCUUCAGAUAUCGCUCAUUUUUAAUACAUCUAGAACUUGCAUGGUUUCUGUACUUGUUCUUAAGUUGUAUGUUAUGUACAUGGUUUCUUAUGUUCAUUUUGGUGAUUGAUAAAUCGUGUCGGCAACAAUUUUAUGCAUUUUGCUAUCUUCUGCAAUAUUUCUUCUUGUGAUUGCUAAUGUUUUAGUGGUAGUCUUGAAGUGGUAUGCAAUGCUUGUUCUCUUUGUUGUCCAUGCUCCGUUCACACUUCAUUAUGCUUGAUAUCUUUUGUACGUCUUUUAUUCGGUAGCUCUAAAGCAUCUCUGAACUCAAACUUUCAGUGUUCCAAAACUACGCCUUGCCCUUGCAGGGUGCAACCAUGACAUUGUUUCAGUCUAAGUUUUGGUACUGCUGCUGACAUACAGAGUGCCAUUGUCAUCCUUAAUGAUAGGGGAAAAGCUAUUUUGUUACAUCCUUUCAACUAUUCAGUCAUUCUUGAUGAUACAGUGAUUCCACAUUGCAGUAACUGACAUGUUCUGUGAAUUGUGAAUUUCGAAUGCAUCUAUUUUGAGCUGUAUCACUGGGAUAAGUUUUCCUGUGUGGUAUAUGGUAGUACCAGUUGGCCGCAUCAUCUCGGCGAACUCACUGAGAUAUGUUUUCCUGUGUGGUAUAUGAUAGUACCAGUUGGUCGCAUCAUCUGGCAAACUCAGCGAGAUAAGUUUUCCUGUGUGGUAUAUGGUAGUACCAGUUGGUCGCACCAUCUCGGCAAGCUCACUGAGAUAAGUUUUACUGUGUGGUAUAUGGUAGUACCAGUUGGUCAUAUCAUCUCGUCAAACACACUUUAUGAAAGACUACAUAAAGAAAUCAAAAUUCGAGAACAGUUGCUAACAAUCAUCUCUAUGAAAGAUAGCUUUCUCCAUUUUUAAGCUUUCGAAGUUAACCUUUUGGCGCACUUUAGUCUAAUUUGGAGGUUAUCUGUAUUCAGGUCCUUGUUAAUGACAACUUCAGGUACGGUCACAAUGCAGCUACAGAGAAGUACGAGGAUUUGAUGGCUGCUAGUAUGAUUGAUCCUACCAACGUACAGGGAAGUACUCCCUCCGUCCCAAAUUAAGUGACUCAACUUUGUACUAACUUUAGUGCAAAUUUAGUACACAGUUGAGUCAUUUAUUUUGGGACAGAGGGAUUAUUAUAUGCAUGUUCCUCUUUUCCGAGGGAUGCUUAGCUGUCUUCGCACUACCUUGCAGUCAACAACACCUGAUCCUGUAGCUGCAAGAGAUCUCCAUCCCUCAAUCCCUCCCUCCUUAAUCUUUCAUAGAUCUCAUAGCAGAUUGUUUUGUUAUAUACAUCCAACUUGAUCUAGCAGCAAAUGGAUUGUUUUCUAUGGUUAACUAAGUUUGCUGUCAAGAUUUAUGUUUUGGACACAAAGAUUGAUAUGCGCUCCAAUUUUGAACUUCAAAAAAUGAUGAAUUUGUUUCUCUGAAAUUUUCAUCAAUCUUUGGUUUCACUGCUGUCCCUUCAGUUUCUUUUAUCUCUAUUGUCCUUAGUCUGAAGACUCGGUAGAUUUUACAUAAACGGCCUACCCGCCGCCGCUUUUGCAGUUUAUGAAUGUACAAUUUAUGUGGUCUAUGCAAUUUAUGUAAAUGGUCCAUGGAUUGUGGUUUAUGGAAGAUUAUGGGUGAGCUGUGAGCACGUUUGGAAGAAUACUAGACAGUUCUGUUCUUCUGGAUGGUACUUGACGCUUAUUUUCAUGGGUUGAUGCGCCGUUGUACAAGUUGUGGCAUCAACCCACACACGAGCAACGGAUUGGAUUGGAUUGGGUGCAAAACGAAAAAUGGUAUGGGGUGGGUUGGGUUCUAAUUUAUAUUUUUGGCUUGGGGUGGUGUGAACUCAAGUAUUUAUGCAUGGUUUGGUCUGGAUACGGGGUGGGCCAUUCCCAGCUUGAAUAAGGUGUAUUAAUUUUUUUCCGCGGCAGAAUAUGGUGUAUUGACUUUUUUAUUGCACUAGAAUACUGUUUAUUGGUUGAGCUGGGUUAGUGUAAUCUCUUUUUAGUUCUAUUAUCGUUACAUCAUUAGUUCGUUACAAGCCAGGUGGAAAAUGGAUCAGAAUUUCAUUACUCCCUCCGUCUCAGUUUAAGAACUAAAUAUGAGCAGCGGAUGUAGUUUAAACAUAUAUUUUUAUGGAUGUAGUUUUUAAACAUAUAUUUUCAUAAAUAUAAUACAUAUCUAGAAUGACGUGCAUGACUUGUAAACUGAGACGGAGGGAGUAGGGCCUGUUCGGCAACCGCCCAGCGCAAAAAAUCACGGAUCAGAAAUCACUAGUCUUGGGCUGCUAGCCGGCUAGCCCAUUUAGCUCGUUUUUGGCCUGGUAAAAAGGCUCCUGUCAUUUCUUUCCUCAUAUGAAACGUCUACUUUUACUUUGGGAUGGCAACUCUAUGUGAAUAACCCAAACUUUGUUCGGGUUUUUUCCGCUUCCUCAACUGCGCUCCCAAAGCGGAGCAGGCUACAACGUAUUUUGGGGGAGCUGCUCAAACCGAGCUCCACAGCUUCGUGGAGUGGAGCGGAGGGGAGAGAUUCCGAACAUGACCCUAGAACACACGCUCCGUGUUUUUCAUUAGCAGAUCCAGGAAGCUAGCUUCGCGGAGCCAGGCUGUUCGGCUCAGCUCCAGGCACCGGCUCAGCUCCGUGCCUGGAUUCAUUGAAGCUGGAAGGUAGGUUUUUCCGAACAUGCCCUUACCUAUGAUUGUUUGUUUUCAGCAUAUUUAGACAGAUCAGGAUUGUAUUUGCCCCAUGGACACAGUACCUAAGCAAUAUAUGGUGUAUUGAUUGAGCAUGGUUAGUGGUAUCUUUGUCGGCUACUUGAUUGACUCUUUUAUCAUAGCUGAGCAAACAAGUACAUUGGCAUUCACGAAAGAAAGAAAACAAGUAGAAAGGCACUUUAUUUAUAUAUGUGAUGAAAAAACAAUUACAUAUACAUUUAAUUUGUAUAUGCGCUGAAGAAACAACUACAAAGGUACUUUAUUUACAUAUACACUGAAGAAACAAUUACAAUGACACUUUAUUUGUAUAUAUGUAGAAGAAACAAACAGAAAGGCAGUAUAUUUGAAUAUAUGCUGGAGAAACAAAUAUAAACGCACUUUAUUUUGCAUAUAAGCUCACAAAACGAACACAAAGACACUUUAUUUGUAUAUAAGCUGAAGAAACUAGUACAAAUGCACUUUAUUUGUAAACAAGCUGAAGAAACAAAUACAAAGGUACGUUAUUUGUCUAUACGCGGGAGAAACAAAUACAAAGGCACUUUAUUUGUAUAUAUGUUGAAGAAACAAAUAAAAGGGCACUUUGUUUGUGUAUACGUUGAAGAAACAAUUUCAAAGGCACUUUAUUUUUAUUUAUGCUUAAGAAACAGUUACAAAGGCACUUUAUUUCUAUGAAAGGUGAAAAAAAAAUAUUACAAAGCCACUUUGUUUGCAUGUACACUGGAGAAACAAAUAGAAAGGCACUUUAUUUGUAUGUAUGCUGAAGAAACAAAUAAAAGACAUUAUUUGUACAUAUGCUGAAGAAACAAAUAGAAAAACACUUUAUUUGUACAUAUGCUAAAGAAACAAAAACAAAGACACUUUAUUUGUAAAUAUGCUGAAGAAACAAAUUGGAAGGCACUUUAUUUGUAUAUAUAGCUUGAGGAAACAAGUACAAAGGCACUUUAUUUAUCUUUACGUUGAAGAAACAAGUAUAAAGGCCCUUUAUUUAAUUGUACUAGCAAACAGAUCUGUGCAUUACAACGGAAGAAAAUAAUAAUCAUAAUGGAAUUCGAUGAAGGACUUUAGAAAUAUUGGUGGUGAUAGAAUUUAACACCUUACAUAUGUUAUGUAGGGCCAAUUCUUGGUGAUUCUGGGUUUGAAAAAUCAAAAGCUUAAAAGAACUCGAUUUGCUUCUUCAAAAUCAUCUGAGAAUCAGUAGAAUCGGCAGUGUAUCUCAGAAUCGAGCAAAAGGGCAGCUUCUGGCGAUUCUGAUAAGUUCUACGAAACAAAAUGUUUUGUUUAGACACAAUACCCCUAUUUGGCAUACAAAUUACAAAGAAAAUGCCACCGGUGGCCACCCUUGAUCCCCAACUCCCAGAUCGCCUGCAGGUACCAGGUAGGGUUCUUGGGCCAUCAUCGCCGGAGAGCCCGCCCGACAGCUCCUCCAUCCGUCGGACACCGACCCUCCACCUUGCUCCUCUGCUCCGCCCGCUUGCCUCCUCCGCCGGAGAGCCCGCCCCGGCAGCUCCUCCGCCCGCUCGCCUCCUCCGCUCUGGCCCGCCCACCGAAGAGCCUGCCCGCUCACCACCUCCGCUCUGCCCGCUCGACAGCUCCUCCGCCUGCUCGCCUCCUCCGCUCCGCCCGCUCGCCUCCUCUGCUCCGCCCGCCCGCCAGAGAGCCCACCCCGGCAGCUCCUCCGGCCGCUCGCCUCCUUCGCUCCGCUCCGCCCGCCCGCCGGACGCAGUUCUUCCGCUCUGUGUGACCCUGCAGCAGCCGACAAGAGCUGACUCAUCUCGUCAGUUCAGGUACAUUAGAGUCAUUUCAGCAUACAACUCAUCUCACAUUCACUGAUUACAAUUUCAAAAAAGAACUCGAUGGUUGAUUCUACAUGAUUUUAUGAAAAACUGAUUCUGUGAGAAGUUUUUCAAAAGCCGAUUCUGGAGAAUCAAAAGCUAAAAAGAACUCGGCCAUAGUCGUGGUUGGUCUCGUAGUAGUCGAGCCGGUCAUGCAUCAUAUGCACACUUCAUUUUGUUUUGAGAGCCGGAGUAGUAAAACUCAGGUGGUGUUACAAUCUGAGUGAACUAGAUGUCUUGUGGUCUUCCCAUGUGGAUGUUUCUAUAUUUUGCAUUGUACUCCCUCCGUUUCUAAAUAUAAGACAUUUUAGAGAUUGCACUAUAAACUACAUAUGAAUGUAUAUAGACAUAUUUUAGAGUGUACAUUCAUUCAUUUUGUUUUGUAUAUAGCCUCCUAGUGAAAUCUCUAAAAGGUCUUGUAUUUUGGAACGGAGGGAGCAUGUCAGUAUGUGUAAGAACUUUGUCUUUGCGUCGUUGUCGUCAUUUUCCCAUUUAAGACUUGUGUUUAGCUUAUUGUGGAACUACCUAAAUAUAUCCUUUUAAUUUUAGGUAUGUGAGAUGUCUAUCCUUUUCCCGGCCUCAAUUAUGAACUAACAAAUAUAUUGCUUCUUCAAAUUCUCGGUUUGAAUGAAAAUAGGCUACAGUGGCUAAGUUAUCUUAUUUUAUUUUAUUUUUCAAGGAAACUUUAUCUUGUUAUAGGUUCAAUUUCGACUUUUUCAUAUGAAAAUAUAAUCAUUUUACUUUACUAUUAUCCUUUUUACAUGUAGUCGCACAUGUUCAAUAUACAUCGUUAGGUUGCUUUCAAAGGUGAAAAAUACAGGUCUCAGACCGCUCGUGUACUUCCAGUGCAUAGAUGUUAAGAUAAAGUGCUAAACAUAUUAAAUGAAUUAACAACUAAAACCAUCAAUAUAUAGGUGUUUAACUUGUUGUUGCUAAGCCCUCUUUAUUUAAUGAUUUAGCAACUAAAGCUUUUCAUGCAUUAGUGGGUUUCUUUCAUUGAAAUGUUUUGCCUAAGUUCACGCGUUUAGCAUUGUUACUUUCUACGGUUACUAUAUACAUCUAUUUCCCCUUAAUUACCUUGUCACAUCAGAUUUUUUGUCUACAUGACAACCUUAACACUUGUACAAGAUGGAGGUGGAGCAUUGAAAGAGGCCUUAGAGGCUCAUGAUCUGGACCGAGGCAGAGCUAAGCUUCAGUCAAGGUGCUUCUGUGGACUCAUCGCAGCUUCCGAGCUAGCUCAGCAGCCCGGUUCACCAAAGUCCGGCAUGGCACGGCUCGCCAGCCCUACCAAAGGAUAUGACUCUCAGCAAACGAAAUUUGCAUCCAGCUGAUGCUGCAUUCGNN